This 431-nucleotide ribosomal RNA is filed under the name uncultured bacterium. RNAcentral's name for it is "bacterial SSU rRNA". It matches the Rfam family "Bacterial small subunit ribosomal RNA", at positions 355 to 775 of the family's 1533-position model. The record is from RNAcentral.
UGGGGAAUCUUGCGCAAUGGCCGAGAGGCUGACGCAGCGACGCCGCGUGGGGGAGGAAGGUCUUCGGAUCGUAAACCCCUGUCGGGAGGGAAGAACGGCGCUGGGGAGGCAAUGCCCCGGCGCAUGACGGUACCUCCAAAGGAAGCACCGGCUAACUCCGUGCCAGCAGCCGCGGUAAUACGGAGGGUGCAAGCGUUGUUCGGAAUUAUUGGGCGUAAAGCGCGCGCAGGCGGCUUGAGAAGUCCAUGGGUGAAAGGCCGGGGCUCAACCCCGAGUGUGCCCAGGAUACUCUCUGGCUGGAGACACGUAGAGGCAAGCGGAAUUUCGGGUGUAGCGGUGGAAUGCGUAGAUAUCCGAAAGAACACCGGAGGCGAAGGCGGCUUGCUGGGCGUGAUCUGACGCUGAGGCGCGAAAGCGUGGGGAGCGAACAG